RNAcentral lists this RNase P RNA (384 nucleotides) under Thiotrichales bacterium SG8_50. RNAcentral's name for it is "bacterial RNase P". It matches the Rfam family "Bacterial RNase P class A". From Rfam's summary of the family: Ribonuclease P (RNase P) is a ubiquitous endoribonuclease, found in archaea, bacteria and eukarya as well as chloroplasts and mitochondria. Its best characterised activity is the generation of mature 5'-ends of tRNAs by cleaving the 5'-leader elements of precursor-tRNAs. Cellular RNase Ps are ribonucleoproteins. Lineage: Bacteria; Pseudomonadati; Pseudomonadota; Gammaproteobacteria; Thiotrichales. The record is from RNAcentral.
GGAGUCGGCCGGACAGUCGCUGGGCAGAGCGUGGCGCUUGCGCUGCUUUGCACGGAGGAAAGUCCGGGCUCCACAGGGCAGGGUGCCAGGUAACGCCUGGGGGGCGCGAGCCUACGGAAAGUGCCACAGAAAAUACACCGCCUAAGUAGCCUUUUGGGCUGCCGGUAAGGGUGAAAUGGUGCGGUAAGAGCGCACCGCGUCGGUGGCAACAUCGACGGCAGGGUAAACCCCACCUGGAGCAAGACCAAAUAGGGGAGCAGGCGGCUGCGGCUGCCACGUGUGGCCCACACGGUUCCCGGGUAGGUCGCUAGAGGUGCGCGGUGACGCGCAUCCCAGAUGAAUGACUGUCCCCGACAGAACCCGGCUUACAGGCCGGCUCCCAUU